RNAcentral lists this unclassified non-coding RNA (257 nucleotides) under fungal sp. RNAcentral's name for it is "partial internal transcribed spacer region". The stretch from base 1 to 46 matches the Rfam family "Eukaryotic small subunit ribosomal RNA", at positions 1786 to 1831 of the family's 1831-position model. Lineage: Eukaryota; Fungi. The record is from RNAcentral.
AAGUCGUAACAAGGUUUCCGUAGGUGAACCUGCGGAAGGAUCAUUAAUGAAUUUUUAGGGUGCUCUCUUCAUCAGAGAGGCCCGAACUCUUCAUUCUUCUACACUGUGCACUAUAACAUUCCGUAAUUCGUCUAUUUUCGAUGUCAAAGUCGAGAUUAGACUUAUUUGGAAUAUCAUUUUUUAAACUCUAUACAAGUCUAAGAAUGAAUACAAAACCAAAAUAUAAAAAACUUUCAACAACGGAUCUCUUGGCUCUC